CGUGUCGUGAGAUGUUGGGUUAAGUCCCGCAACGAGCGCAACCCCUAUGAUUAGUUGCCCCUUAAAAGGCUCUCUAGUCAGACCGCCCUGUUUAACGGGGAGGAAGGUGGGGACGAGGUCAAGUCAGGAUGGCCCUUUCGUCUAGGGCUGCUCACGUACUACAAUGGUCAGUACAGAGGGACGCAAAGCCUAGAGGUAGAGCAAAUCCCAGAAAACUGAGCCCAGUUCGGAUUGAAGAUUGCCACUUUCCUU
RNAcentral lists this ribosomal RNA (252 nucleotides) under uncultured bacterium. RNAcentral's name for it is "partial 16S ribosomal RNA". It matches the Rfam family "Bacterial small subunit ribosomal RNA", at positions 1061 to 1318 of the family's 1533-position model. The record is from RNAcentral.